UCAUUAGUUUCUUUGACGUCCUCAAUAACGUAUUAAUACUGCAACAAAAACGGUCUAUAGCGAUAUUUUUAAAUGUCAGUACAGGUCAAAGAAAGUACUGCUGGCUAAAUUACUGAUAUUUUUAAAAAGUAUUGUUAUAUGUGGGGUUGCUAGGUAUAUAGUGACAGUUAAAGAGUGUCGUUAUAACCUAAAAAAGUGCUGCUAAUUUACCAAUACUUAUUUAAACAUUUAGCAACCGUCAGAACUCUAACUCGUUGGCUGCGAUGGCGGAGGAGAACGAGAAGAAGGGAUCUUCGUCUAGGAUUUCAGUCGAUUGAGUGAGGGGAGAAUAGAAAAUGGUAAUCGAUUUUUUUUUUUUUUCUUUUCUAUUUGUAAUCGAGCUGAAUGGGCUGGGUGGGGUGGGUUGAGUAGAGUAACCUUUUAUUUUUGGUUGGAUUAGACUUUAUAUUUAGGUAUUAGUAGAUUUUUUUUUAAGUUUUGAUAUAAAUGGUACACUUACACAAAAGUGUCCCAAACAUGUGUUCCUAUAAUCUAAUUCUGUUGUAGUGUAAUUGUGUAGAAAA
Molecule: long non-coding RNA, 563 nt
Filed under: Ananas comosus (pineapple)
Lineage: Eukaryota; Viridiplantae; Streptophyta; Magnoliopsida; Poales; Bromeliaceae
Description: long non-coding RNA (ACOM_LNC025517)
Source: RNAcentral